AUAUGGCCUACAGUGACCUAUGCUCGGUAGAAGCUGUUGUCCUUAUUAACAGCCUAUCAUUUGGUCGUGAACAGUUUUAAGGACUAAUCGAUAAAUCCUCUCUUUAUCGAAUCUAAAUAGUCCUAAGGACUUCAUCAUAACAACGGAGUUCAUUAGAAGAUGAAAGCUUAUGAUGAAAAUGCCAAAUAUAUUUUAUUUAUUAACAAAUCAAUUACAAUACUUGGUUGCUCAACCGUUAACAGCUUGACGAUU
This 252-nucleotide long non-coding RNA is filed under the name Elaeis guineensis (African oil palm). Its description in RNAcentral is "long non-coding RNA (EGUI_LNC067495)". Lineage: Eukaryota; Viridiplantae; Streptophyta; Magnoliopsida; Arecales; Arecaceae. The record is from RNAcentral.